This 2014-nucleotide ribosomal RNA is filed under the name Escherichia coli KTE47. Its description in RNAcentral is "bacterial LSU rRNA". It matches the Rfam family "Bacterial large subunit ribosomal RNA", at positions 935 to 2925 of the family's 2925-position model. The record is from RNAcentral. Lineage: Bacteria; Pseudomonadati; Pseudomonadota; Gammaproteobacteria; Enterobacterales; Enterobacteriaceae.
CUUACCAACCCGAUGCAAACUGCGAAUACCGGAGAAUGUUAUCACGGGAGACACACGGCGGGUGCUAACGUCCGUCGUGAAGAGGGAAACAACCCAGACCGCCAGCUAAGGUCCCAAAGUCAUGGUUAAGUGGGAAACGAUGUGGGAAGGCCCAGACAGCCAGGAUGUUGGCUUAGAAGCAGCCAUCAUUUAAAGAAAGCGUAAUAGCUCACUGGUCGAGUCGGCCUGCGCGGAAGAUGUAACGGGGCUAAACCAUGCACCGAAGCUGCGGCAGCGACGCUUAUGCGUUGUUGGGUAGGGGAGCGUUCUGUAAGCCUGUGAAGGUGGCCUGUGAGGGUUGCUGGAGGUAUCAGAAGUGCGAAUGCUGACAUAAGUAACGAUAAAGCGGGUGAAAAGCCCGCUCGCCGGAAGACCAAGGGUUCCUGUCCAACGUUAAUCGGGGCAGGGUGAGUCGACCCCUAAGGCGAGGCCGAAAGGCGUAGUCGAUGGGAAACAGGUUAAUAUUCCUGUACUUGGUGUUACUGCGAAGGGGGGACGGAGAAGGCUAUGUUGGCCGGGCGACGGUUGUCCCGGUUUAAGCGUGUAGGCUGGUUUUCCAGGCAAAUCCGGAAAACCAAGGCUGAGGCGUGAUGACGAGGCACUACGGUGCUGAAGCGACAAAUGCCCUGCUUCCAGGAAAAGCCUCUAAGCAUCAGGUAACAUCAAAUCGUACCCCAAACCGACACAGGUGGUCAGGUAGAGAAUACCAAGGCGCUUGAGAGAACUCGGGUGAAGGAACUAGGCAAAAUGGUGCCGUAACUUCGGGAGAAGGCACGCUGAUAUGUAGGUGAAGCGACUUGCUCGUGGAGCUGAAAUCAGUCGAAGAUACCAGCUGGCUGCAACUGUUUAUUAAAAACACAGCACUGUGCAAACACGAAAGUGGACGUAUACGGUGUGACGCCUGCCCGGUGCCGGAAGGUUAAUUGAUGGGGUUAGCGGUAACGCGAAGCUCUUGAUCGAAGCCCCGGUAAACGGCGGCCGUAACUAUAACGGUCCUAAGGUAGCGAAAUUCCUUGUCGGGUAAGUUCCGACCUGCACGAAUGGCGUAAUGAUGGCCAGGCUGUCUCCACCCGAGACUCAGUGAAAUUGAACUCGCUGUGAAGAUGCAGUGUACCCGCGGCAAGACGGAAAGACCCCGUGAACCUUUACUAUAGCUUGACACUGAACAUUGAGCCUUGAUGUGUAGGAUAGGUGGGAGGCUUUGAAGUGUGGACGCCAGUCUGCAUGGAGCCGACCUUGAAAUACCACCCUUUAAUGUUUGAUGUUCUAACGUUGGCCCGUAAUCCGGGUUGCGGACAGUGUCUGGUGGGUAGUUUGACUGGGGCGGUCUCCUCCUAAAGAGUAACGGAGGAGCACGAAGGUUGGCUAAUCCUGGUCGGACAUCAGGAGGUUAGUGCAAUGGCAUAAGCCAGCUUGACUGCGAGCGUGACGGCGCGAGCAGGUGCGAAAGCAGGUCAUAGUGAUCCGGUGGUUCUGAAUGGAAGGGCCAUCGCUCAACGGAUAAAAGGUACUCCGGGGAUAACAGGCUGAUACCGCCCAAGAGUUCAUAUCGACGGCGGUGUUUGGCACCUCGAUGUCGGCUCAUCACAUCCUGGGGCUGAAGUAGGUCCCAAGGGUAUGGCUGUUCGCCAUUUAAAGUGGUACGCGAGCUGGGUUUAGAACGUCGUGAGACAGUUCGGUCCCUAUCUGCCGUGGGCGCUGGAGAACUGAGGGGGGCUGCUCCUAGUACGAGAGGACCGGAGUGGACGCAUCACUGGUGUUCGGGUUGUCAUGCCAAUGGCACUGCCCGGUAGCUAAAUGCGGAAGAGAUAAGUGCUGAAAGCAUCUAAGCACGAAACUUGCCCCGAGAUGAGUUCUCCCUGAGACUUAGAGUCUCCUGAAGGAACGUUGAAGACGACGACGUUGAUAGGCCGGGUGUGUAAGCGCAGCGAUGCGUUGAGCUAACCGGUACUAAUGAACCGUGAGGCUUAACCUU